RNAcentral lists this ribosomal RNA (2742 nucleotides) under bacterium SCSIO 12827. Its description in RNAcentral is "23S ribosomal RNA". It matches the Rfam family "Bacterial large subunit ribosomal RNA". The record is from RNAcentral.
UCUCAAGUGUGACAAGAGCAUCUGGUGGAUGCCUUGGCGUCAAGAGGCGAUGAAGGACGUGGCACUCUGCGAUAAGCUUCGGGGAGGGAGAGCACCCUUUGAUCCGGAGAUCUCCGAAUGGGGCAACCCACCGCUAUAGCGGUAUCGCAUGCUGAAUACAUAGGCAUGCGAGGCAAACCCGGCGAAGUGAAACAUCUCAGUAGCCGGAGGAAAGGACAUCAACCGAGACUCCGUUAGUAGUGGCGAGCGAACGCGGACCAGGCCAGUGGCUGGAUUGUAAGAACCGGAACCUUCUGGAAAGUAGGGCCAUAGCGGGUGAUAGCCCCGUACGGGUAGAAAGCAGUUCAGUCCUCGAGUAGGGCGGGACACGUGAAAUCCUGUCUGAAAUUGGGGGGACCACCCUCCAAGCCUAAGUACUCCUUGACGACCGAUAGUGAACCAGUACCGUGAGGGAAAGGUGAAAAGCACCCCGACGAGGGGAGUGAAAGAGACCUGAAACCGGAUGCUUACAAGCAGUGGGAGCCUCCUUGAGGGGUGACCGCGUACCUUUUGUAUAAUGGGUCAGCGAGUUGAUUUUGCGAGCAAGCUUAAGCCGUUAGGUGUAGGCGGAGCGAAAGCGAGUGUUAAUAGCGCGAUGUAGUUCGUAGGAUCAGACCCGAAACCCGGUGAUCUAGCCAUGAGCAGGUUGAAGGCGGGGUAACACCCGCUGGAGGACCGAACCCACCUAUGUUGAAAAAUGGGGGGAUGACUUGUGGUUAGGGGUGAAAGGCCAAUCAAACCGGGUAAUAGCUGGUUCUCCGCGAAAACUAUUUAGGUAGUGCGUCACGUAUUACCGCCGGGGGUAGAGCACUGGAUGGGCUAGGGGUCCCCACAGGAUUACCAAACCUAACCAAACUCCGAAUACCGGUGAGUAGAGCGUGGCAGACAGACUGUGGGUGCUAAGGUCCAUGGUCGAAAGGGAAACAGCCCAGACCGCCAGCUAAGGUCCCUAAGUCAUGGCUAAGUGGGAAAGGAUGUGGGAAGGCCAAGACAACCAGGAGGUUGGCUUAGAAGCAGCCAUCCUUUAAAGAAAGCGUAACAGCUCACUGGUCUAGUUAAGCCGUCCUGCGCCGAAGAUGUAUCGGGGCUAAAGCCAUGCACCGAAGCUGCGGACUUCUCUUCGGAGGAGUGGUAGCGGAGCGUUCCGUAGGCCUGCGAAGGUGAUCCGUGAGGAUUGCUGGAGGUAUCGGAAGUGAGAAUGCUGACAUGAGUAGCGACAAAGAGUGUGAGAGACACUCUCGCCGAAAGUCCAAGGGUUCCUCGGCAAGGCUAAUCCGCCGAGGGUGAGCCGGCUCCUAAGGCGAGGCCGAAAGGCGUAGUCGAUGGGAACCUGGUUAAUAUUCCAGGGCCUGACGGAGGUGACGAAUGGUGGAAGUAGUUCCGGCUUAUUGGAUUGUCGGGGCUGCCAAGCCGUUCCAGGAAAUAACCCCGUCGUAUAGACCGUACCCCAAACCGACACAGGUGGACUGGUAGAGCAUACCAAGGCGCUUGAGAGAACGAUGUUGAAGGAACUCGGCAAAUUGCACCCGUAACUUCGGGAUAAGGGUGACCCGUCUUUGGGCAACCAGGGGCGGGUGGCACAGACCAGGGGGUGGCGACUGUUUACUAAAAACACAGGGCUCUGCGAAGCCGCAAGGCGACGUAUAGGGUCUGACGCCUGCCCGGUGCCGGAAGGUUAAGAGGAGAGGUGAGAGCUUUGAAUCGAAGCCCCGGUAAACGGCGGCCGUAACUAUAACGGUCCUAAGGUAGCGAAAUUCCUUGUCGGGUAAGUUCCGACCUGCACGAAUGGCGUAACGACUUCCCCACUGUCUCCAACAUCGACUCAGCGAAAUUGAACUCUCCGUGAAGAUGCGGAGUACCCGCGGUUAGACGGAAAGACCCCGUGCACCUUUACUACAGCUUCAGAGUGGUAUUAGGGAAUGACUAUGUAGGAUAGGUGGGAGGCUAUGAAGCAUCGGCGUCAGUUGAUGUGGAGCCAUCCUUGAAAUACCACCUUUUUGUUCUCUGAUAUCUAACCGCGGCCCAUGAACCUGGGUCCGGGACCCUCUGUGGCGGGUAGUUUGACUGGGGCGGUCGCCUCCUAAAGAGUAACGGAGGCGCGCGAUGGUGGGCUCAAGCCGGUCGGACAUCGGCUGUUGAGUGCAAUGGCAUAAGCCCGCCUGACUGCGAGAGCGACGGUUCGAGCAGAGACGAAAGUCGGUCAUAGUGAUCCGGUGGUCCCGCGUGGAAGGGCCAUCGCUCAACGGAUAAAAGGUACGCCGGGGAUAACAGGCUGAUCGCCGCCAAGAGUCCAUAUCGACGCGGCGGUUUGGCACCUCGAUGUCGGCUCAUCACAUCCUGGGGCUGGAGCAGGUCCAAGGGUUCGGCUGUUCGCCGAUUAAAGUGGUACGUGAGCUGGGUUUAGAACGUCGUGAGACAGUUCGGUCCCUAUCUGCCGUGGGUGUUCGAGACUUGAGAGGAUCUGCCCCUAGUACGAGAGGACCGGGGUGGACGGACCUCUGGUGGACCUGUUGUGGCGCCAGCCGCAUAGCAGGGUAGCUAAGUCCGGCCGGGAUAACCGCUGAAAGCAUCUAAGCGGGAAACCCCCUCAAAACCAGGUCUCGCUUGAGAGCCGUGGAAGACCACCACGUUGAUAGGCCGGGUGUGGAAGCGCAGUAAUGUGUGAAGCUGACCGGUACUAAUGGCUCGAUUGAUCUUGAGAAC